GCAGCGUUAUCCGGAAUCGUUGGGCGUAAAGCGCCUGUAGGUUGUUUAAUAAGUCUGUUGUUAAAGACUGGGGCUUAACCCCAGGAAAGCAAUGGAAACUACUAGACUAGAGUAUGGUAGGGGUAAAGGGAAUUUCUAGUGUAGCGGUGAAAUGCGUAGAUAUUAGAAAGAACACCGGUGGCGAAAGCGCUUUACUGGACCAUUACUGACACUCAGAGGCGAAAGCUAGGGUAGCCAAAGGGAUUAGAUACCCCUGUAGUCCUAGCCGUAAACGAUGGAUACUAGAUGUUGCGCUUAUUGUGCAGUGUCGUAGCUAACGCGUUAAGUAUCCCGCCUGGGGAGUACGAUCGCAAGGUUGAAACUCAAAGGAAUUGACGGGGGCCCGCACAAGCGGUGGAGCAUGUGGUUUAAUUCGAUGCAACGCGGAGAACCUUACCAGGGCUUGACAUACUGCAAAUUUUCUUGAAAGAGAAAAGUGCCUUCGGGAAUGCAGAUACAGGUGGUGCAUGGCUGUCGUCAGCUCGUGUCGUGAGAUGUUGGGUUAAGUCCCGCAACGAGCGCAACCCUCGUUUUUAGUUGCCAUUUUAUGGGUUCUCUAGAAAGACUGCCGGUGACAAACCGGAGGAAGGUGGGGAUGACGUCAAGUCAGCAUGCCCCUUAUGCCCUGGGCUACACACGUGCUACAAUGGCUAAGACAAAGAGUCGCGAAUUCGCGAGAAUCAGCUAAUCUCAUAAACUUAGUCUAAGAUCAGAUUGUAGGCUGCAAC
This 767-nucleotide ribosomal RNA is filed under the name uncultured marine haptophyte. Its description in RNAcentral is "bacterial SSU rRNA". It matches the Rfam family "Bacterial small subunit ribosomal RNA", at positions 535 to 1311 of the family's 1533-position model. The record is from RNAcentral. Lineage: Eukaryota; Haptophyta.